This 441-nucleotide ribosomal RNA is filed under the name uncultured bacterium. Its description in RNAcentral is "bacterial SSU rRNA". It matches the Rfam family "Bacterial small subunit ribosomal RNA", at positions 28 to 507 of the family's 1533-position model. The record is from RNAcentral.
GAUGAACGCUGGCGGUAUGCCUAACACAUUGCAAGUCGUACGAGAGUUUUUAACUCUAGUGGCGGACGGGUGAGUAACACGUGAGAAUUUGCCUUUAGGAGGGGGAUAACAAUUGGAAACGAAUGCUAAUACCCCAUAUGCUUUUGAGUGAAACGGAUUUAUCCGCCUAGAGAGAAGCUCGCGGCUGAUUAGCUUGUUGGUAAGGUAAGAGCUUACCAAGGCGACGAUCAGUAUCCUGGUUUGAGAGGACGAUCAGACACACUGGAACUGAGACACGGUCCAGACUCCUACGGGAGGCAGCAGUGGGGAAUUUUCCGCAAUGGGCGAAAGCCUGACGGAGCAAUACCGCGUGAGGGAAGACUGCCUAUGGGUUGUAAACCUCUUUUUUCAGGGAGGAAUAAAUGACGUGUACCUGAAGAAUAAGCAUCGGCUAACUCCGUG